CAGUAGCCACGGUAACACGUAGGGUGCGAGCGUUAAUCGGAAUUACUGGGCGUAAAGCGUGCGCAGGCGGUUUUGUAAGACAGAGGUGAAAUCCCCGGGCUCAACCUGGGAACUGCCUUUGUGACUGCAAGGCUAGAGUACGGCAGAGGGGGAUGGAAUUCCGCGUGUAGCAGUGAAAUGCGUAGAUAUGCGGAGGAACACCGAUGGCGAAGGCAAUCCCCUGGGCCUGUACUGACGCUCAUGCACGAAAGCGUGGGGAGCAAACAGGAUUAGAUACCCCAGUAGUCCCUGUCUCUUAUAC
RNAcentral lists this ribosomal RNA (301 nucleotides) under uncultured bacterium. Its description in RNAcentral is "partial 16S ribosomal RNA". It matches the Rfam family "Bacterial small subunit ribosomal RNA", at positions 509 to 807 of the family's 1533-position model. The record is from RNAcentral.